CCGCUGCCUGGGGGUGGGCAGAGACAAGGACUGGGUUCCCGGGGCCCUAACAUGGCUCUGCUUGCCAUGACCUGGACCUCUAUCUCCAGGAUGUCUCUUUUUAUAGAUCUUGCUUAUUAGUUACUUUGUGUAUGUGUGUAUGUUUGUGUACACAUGUGUGCAUGUGGGUAUACGUGAAUGUGUGCAUGUGUGUGGAGGCCAGAAGUCAAUGCUGGGUGUCUUCCUCUCCUGUUCUCCACUUUGUUGUUGUUGUUCGGGUUUUGUUUGUUUUUUGGGGGGUUUUUCUGUAUUUUUUUUUUUUUUUUUUAGAGACAAGGUUUCACUGUGUAGCCUGGUUGUCCUGGAACUCACUCUGUAGCCCAGGCUGGCCUCGAACUCACAGAGAUCCACCUGUCUCUGCCUCCUGAGUGCUGGGAUUCAAGGCAUACACCACCACUGCUGGACUUGCACUUUAUUUUUGAAGGUGGUGUCUGCCAUUGAAUCUGGCGCUCACUGAUUGGCUAGGCUGACUGGCCAGCGAGGCACAGGGGUCCUCCCGACUUUUGCAGGCACAGGCAUGCACUGGUACACCUAGUGUUUGACUUGAGUGUUGGGGUCCAAACUCAGGCCCUCAUGCUGGCAUGGACGGCACUCUACAGACUUCGUCGUCUCUUCGAGUCCCUAACAUUUUUAUUUUGAGAUGAGGUCCCACUGAGUUGUCCAGACUGCUUUUGAACUUGUGAUCCUUCUGCCUCGGCCUCCCAAGGAGCUGAGGUUACCAGCGUACACCAUUAGACUGGGUGAGUCUGCCUGUUGUCCAAUACCCAAAAUGUCCCUGUCUGUGCCGUCGAGGCAUCAGCAAUGGCUUAUCUCUUAAUCAUCCGUCCUGCCAUACACUUAUUUGUAUACUCAUCUUCUUGCCCAUUUAUCUACACAAGCCAAAACGUGGACCCACUCAACCACCUGCCUAUCCAUCAUGUGCCCAGUCACUCACUCAUCUGUCUGGCGACUGCACCCUUCCACACUUACCUACCCUCCACCUACCUGUUCUUCCCUGGAUCCGCCCACUCAGUCUAACAAUCACCCACCCAUUGGAUCUUAUCAAUCCAUUCGCCGAAAACACUGGGAAGAGGGAAAGCAAGCUGCUCCAAGGAUGUUGACACGAACAAGAAAGAGGUGUCACCCUCGGACCCAGACAACCACAACACAUCGUAAGUGUCAGCAGCACGAUGCUGAGAGCCCUUGUUAGAGGAAAGAGCCUGACUUCACCCAGAGGGGAAGGAGGAGUGAGGAUCAGAGCUUAAGUUCAAUGGAGAGUGAAAAGCCAAAAUUACACGAAAAGAUACUCUCAGUGGAGGGGACCACUAGGGACUCUACCCCUAAAGAAGUAUGGCAGAGGCUCCAGUGGUGGCUCAGGUCCUGGAACAUGUAGGAUAAACAGGAGAGUGACGCAGCAGGUGACAGUAUCAGGACUGAAACUGGCUCCCUUAAAUCCUGCUCAUCCGAGCCUGGCAUCAAGAUCUAACCGAAAGCAAUAGGGUAGGCAGAGGCCUGCAGUAAGCAAGCUUAGGAAAGAAUGUGGACAAAACAAGGUUGUGCCAUAGGGAGCAAUAUCUGUGACAUGAGGAGGGCUGGCACUAGCCUGAUCAUACAGGAUCCUGAAUCUAGGCUGCCGAUCUUGAAUUCUCUCAUGGUGAGCAGAGACCAGGGGAUGUCAGCUCUCAGGUAUGCCCUGUAUAGUGAUCUGGAGCCAGACUGGUUGUGGGGCAGAGGCACAGGGCUUGGCUUUCAUAAAGAACCUCAAGAGAACUAGGCCUAAGAACCAAGAAACAGCAGCCUGUUGCCAAGGACCCUCGUCUUCAGCAGGAAUCUUGAGUUGGCCUGGCCAGGGAUGGAGAGGGAUGAAGUUUGACCAUGUGGUCUCCAGACUUUGCCUCAACAAUUCCCCACAGUCCCCCUUGAACCUUCCACGUGGCUGAAACCUGUCAGUCUAAUGAACCAGCAAAGAUUCCGGCAGCGUGGAUCUGAAUGGCAGUACUAGAGUAUGACUUCUCCUUGGGUCCCUGGCACCCUCAGGGGGCCUGAAUCUGACAAGGGUCAGGAUACUUCUCUAAUAAAGAGAAAAGAGAAAGCUCUGCUACUGCUAUGGUACGCGCAGAGCAGGCAACAUGACUCUUUCUCUGAGAGCUGGGUGCUGCUCCUCACUGUCCAGGGGUGCUUAUGGUUCCCAGGUCCCAGUCGUGGGAGUGGAAACAAGUCUGAGUCUUCCACCCACUUCCUGCAGCCCAUGAGAGAUGGGCAAUGUUCUUUUUCCUCCCAGCCCACCAUGAGGCCUCCAGACCUCCUGCCCUGGACCAAGGCCUCCCCUUCCGUCCACCUCCUCACUUCUCUGUCAUGGUGCUGAACAUUCUCUCGAUAAACUGCAUCUGCAAGGCAGUCUCGCUCAUUUGGGCCUCAGCGUCUGGAUGGAGAGAGAGAGGCAUGGCCUUUGAGAAGCGCCAUCUGGAAGUUAUCUACCAGGACAGCAAUCACCAGGCUGUAGAGGGGACAGUGGGGAGCUCUUAAAGGGGACACCAGAGAAGAGGCCACAUACUGUCCUCUGAGUCCAGUGUGACCGAUGACCAGGGUAUCAGCAGCCCGCAGAUGGCAAAUGGUACUGAGCCAUUAGCACCUACCCACCAUGCCCUGGACCCUGCCCUCUGCCCACCCUGGGCCCUGCUGUCCAUGUAGAUGAGGGACCAGUCAUCCAAGCUCAGUGAAGGUCUGGGCCACAAGGACAAUUGUGUUGAGGCAGACCACGAUGAAGAUGAAGGUCUCAAAGCCCAGGGACUGAGUCAGUGACAUCAUCAUUUGCCGGAAAC
Peromyscus californicus insignis is the source of this 2840-nucleotide long non-coding RNA. RefSeq lists it as uncharacterized. Lineage: Eukaryota; Metazoa; Chordata; Mammalia; Rodentia; Cricetidae. The transcript has 4 exons. The record is from RefSeq and is a predicted model, not a curated record.